RNAcentral lists this ribosomal RNA (558 nucleotides) under uncultured bacterium. RNAcentral describes it as "partial 16S ribosomal RNA". It matches the Rfam family "Bacterial small subunit ribosomal RNA", at positions 355 to 905 of the family's 1533-position model. The record is from RNAcentral.
UGGGGAAUUUUGGACAAUGGGCGAAAGCCUGAUCCAGCAAUGCCGCGUGUGUGAAGAAGGCCUUCGGGUUGUAAAGCACUUUUGUCCGGAAAGAAAUCCUUGGCUCUAAUACAGUCGGGGGAUGACGGUACCGGAAGAAUAAGCACCGGCUAACUACGUGCCAGCAGCCGCGGUAAUACGUAGGGUGCAAGCGUUAAUCGGAAUUACUGGGCGUAAAGCGUGCGCAGGCGGUUUGCUAAGACCGAUGUGAAAUCCCCGGGCUCAACCUGGGAACUGCAUUGGUGACUGGCAGGCUAGAGUAUGGCAGAGGGGGGUAGAAUUCCACGUGUAGCAGUGAAAUGCGUAGAGAUGUGGAGGAAUACCGAUGGCGAAGGCAGCCCCCUGGCAAGUACUGACGCUCAUGCACGAAAGCGUGGGGAGCAAACNGGAUUAAUNCCCUGGUAGUCCACGCCCUAAANGAUGUCAACUAGUUGUUGGGGGGUUCAUUUUCCUUAGUAACGUAGCUAACGCGUGAAGUUGACCGCCUGGGGGAGUACGGUCGCAAGAUUAAAACUCAAA